Molecule: ribosomal RNA, 407 nt
Filed under: uncultured Pediococcus sp.
Lineage: Bacteria; Bacillati; Bacillota; Bacilli; Lactobacillales; Lactobacillaceae
Description: bacterial SSU rRNA
Rfam family: Bacterial small subunit ribosomal RNA
Source: RNAcentral
UUGACUCUAGAGAUAGAGUAGNUGGCGAACGGGUGAGUAACACGUGGGUAACCUGCCCAGAAGCAGGGGAUAACACCUGGAAACAGAUGCUAAUACCGUAUAACAGAGAAAACCGCCUGGUUUUCUUUUAAAAGAUGGCUCUGCUAUCACUUCUGGAUGGACCCGCGGCGCAUUAGCUAGAUUUGGUGAGGUAAAGGCCCACCACCAGACUCCUACGGGAGGCAGCAGUAGGGACUUCCACAAUGGACGCAAGUCUGAUGGAGCAACGCCGCGUGAGUGAAGAAGGGUUUCGGCUCGUAAAGCUCUGUUGUUAAAGAAGAACGUGGGUAAGAGUAACUGUCCACCCAGUGACGGUAUUUAACCAGAAAGCCACGGAAUACGUUCCCGGGUCUUGUAACACACGCAAA